UAUCUUGAUUGAAGGACACUUGCAUUUAAAGAUGACAAGAGUUGAACGAAUUAAGGAUAUGAUAGAGGAACGGUCCAAAGUAUGACGAUAGGAGCAUGCUCACUAAGGACUAAAUCGCGUAACGACCGCGAACAAGGUUAAUGGCAAGAAACGCCCGUCGGGGCAAGCAUUACCAGUUUGACUCUGACAAGCUAGGUAGGAGCUUGGAAAUGAACGGGUCAAAUGGAUACAAGUUCAAGUAUGAAGCUCGCAAGGAUGCAAGGUAAGUAUAACUUACACUAGUCAUAUAUUUUAGAAUGUUCUUUUGUCGUAUUGACUACGAAUAAGACAAAUGGUAAUUUAGUCACACGUUGACAAUAAUCGUUAGUUUUAAAAGACGCUUUCCCGCGUAAGACAUAAAGAGCCGAGAGUGGUAAUAAACGGUUUAUAAAUAAAAUGAGCAUACGGUGUUAAAAGGAGCGAGUCAUGUAGAUGAGAUGAUAAUAAAUAUUAUCUCGCAAAGAUAAACGGUCAAUUCGGCCAAACGGGUCAAAAGGUGUAGACAUCACCUUUUGACAAUAUCGACUAAUGAUUCUGGUGUCGAGUUAUAUGUUUACAGGAGUAGAUAUCCAAUGGAUACUCGCAUCGCUCUUAAUUAGCAAUUAUAAAGCAAGGUAUUAAACCGGGUUAGUAAGUUGAUCCGAGCCAGGUAUGUAUAAUAGAUUAACUCAUCAUGUAGAACUUGAAGUUCUAUGAAAGUUAGGCAAAAUAAAAAAA
Helianthus annuus (common sunflower) is the source of this 756-nucleotide long non-coding RNA. RefSeq lists it as uncharacterized. The record is from RefSeq and is a predicted model, not a curated record. The transcript is spliced from 2 exons. NCBI's taxonomy places the organism in Eukaryota, Viridiplantae, Streptophyta, Magnoliopsida, Asterales, Asteraceae.